UUGCAAUGUGCAGCUGGUUUUCAUAUUUGUCAGGAGUCUAACACAAAAUAAUUUUGCUCUCUUUGUGCGUUAGGAUUCUAUGAGCUCAUUCUUUAGAUAACUGCUUCACCACUUUGUGUUUUGGCCCCUGCAUGUAUCUAGGUGAUAAAACCUCUUUUGCAUAAGUUUCAAAGUCUCCUGAUUGCUCUGAGAAGCAAUCCACCUUUUGAAACCUCUGGAAUGUAUGAAACAGGAAAGAAGAAAUCUGUGACAAGUUAUAACAGCCAAGGUUAAUUUUGAAGCUGUGUGUGUGUUUACUGCCUCUUAGGGGAGUAUCUCGCUGUUUUGCAUGCUGCUUACUUGUUUCUGGAGCUGAAGAAACACUGCUUAAAAGGAUUAAUUUGGCAGGCACUCCUGAGACUUUAGAAGCGCUUCAGAAGCAGAUAUUUCAAUUGGAGCUUUUAGCAGCAGAAACAUCACAGGCUGUACAUCGUGUUCCUCACACGCCCAGAUCCCUUUCAUCUGAGCAGUUCAGGUUCAGAUUGUGUAUGCAGUGCUCAGCUCUCAUCACAGUCUCCUGUUCAGAAGUUCUACGCCUGCUACACCAGAGUCUCUCAAACAGCAGUACUGGGGUGCUCAGGGCUUGUCCACAGAGUGCUCCCUAAGCAUCUGAGUUGCGUGGGUAGGAAGCUCCUACUUUUAUUUCUCUUUCUGUUAACAGCGGCUUUAUUCCAAACUUAUUUUAAGUUUGUUCUCUACCACUGUCCUAGAUCACAUUUAUUUUGGCAAAUCCUCCUUACCAGUGCUAUGCAGUUUCUUUUUUUUUUUUUCACAUUUACCUUUUAAUUAGGCAUAUCUGUAUAUUCUACAAGUAAUAUAUUUUUCAGGAUCUGUACAAUAUAUUAUAGAUAUAUCAUGAUACUUGUGGGCCAGUGCAAGGCAAAAGAAAUAGAGGAAGAAAAGGACUAAAAAGGACUACCUGUCUAAGAUGCAACACUGCUAAUUUCAUUCAUUUCCAUGAAGAAAAUGACCUUGUGAAGGUUGUGAAGGUUUUUAUUUGGGGCUGGGUCAUAGUUUGACACUAAAUGAGCCAGUAAGGAGUCUUUCUUUCAGUGACUCUCUGCAAACUACAUUAAUUCUACUUUUAGAGACAGAAAUUUCUGAAUCUUCCAGGCCAUAUGUUUAGCUUACAACCUCAUUUGUUAUCAGGCAUGACAGGUCUAUUUAAUAUCCUUUUACUGUGUAGUACAGAUGUGAAAACUGCUAUUGCUGAAGAGGUGAGACAGUGUUAUGCACCAACAGAGCUUCCCUCCAUUUUUAUAGGAAUUCUCUGAGUGCUCUGCAGUGACCAGUGCAUGAGGAAGCUUAGACUUAAAUCACGUAUUGGUGAAGAAUACUGGAAAGCUUUUCCUCCACAAGCAGAUCUACCAGGAGGAAAUUUGUUUUGUUUGGUGGACAAGGUUGUUGUCAUAGGUUAGCAAGCAUAGUCCCGGAAGGGACGUC
This is a long non-coding RNA of Corvus hawaiiensis (hawaiian crow), 1482 nucleotides long. RefSeq lists it as uncharacterized. NCBI's taxonomy places the organism in Eukaryota, Metazoa, Chordata, Aves, Passeriformes, Corvidae. The record is from RefSeq and is a predicted model, not a curated record. The transcript has 3 exons.